Molecule: microRNA precursor, 173 nt
Filed under: Pelobates cultripes (western spadefoot toad)
Lineage: Eukaryota; Metazoa; Chordata; Amphibia; Anura; Pelobatidae
Source: RNAcentral
CAGCAGACACCUUCCAGCCAAUCAGCAGCCGACCCUCCCUCCCAGACCCUCCCACCUCCUGGACAGCUCACUAAGAAUGCAGCUUCACAAUGAAUGUAAACUGGAUGCUGUCCAGGAGGUGGGAGGGUCUGGGAGGGAGGGUCUGCUGCUGAUUGGCUGGAAUGUGUCUGCUG